RNAcentral lists this ribosomal RNA (253 nucleotides) under uncultured bacterium. Its description in RNAcentral is "partial 16S ribosomal RNA". It matches the Rfam family "Bacterial small subunit ribosomal RNA", at positions 524 to 776 of the family's 1533-position model. The record is from RNAcentral.
UACGUAGGGGGCAAGCGUUGUCUGGAUUUAUUGGGCGUAAAGAGCGUGUAGGCGGCCAGACAAGUCUGCUGUGAAAACUCGAGGCUCAACCUCGAGCUGUCGGUGGAAACUGUCUGGCUAGAGUCCGGAAGAGGAGAGUGGAAUUCCUGGUGUAGCGGUGAAAUGCGCAGAUAUCAGGAAGAACACCUAUGGCGAAGGCAGCUCUCUGGGACGGUACUGACGCUGAGACGCGAAAGCGUGGGGAGCGAACAGG